RNAcentral lists this long non-coding RNA (293 nucleotides) under Elaeis guineensis (African oil palm). Its description in RNAcentral is "long non-coding RNA (EGUI_LNC029647)". Lineage: Eukaryota; Viridiplantae; Streptophyta; Magnoliopsida; Arecales; Arecaceae. The record is from RNAcentral.
UAAUAUAUUUUUGUUAUAUUACGUAUACCAUGGCUAAAAAACUAAAAUAAAUUGAUAUAUUGCUUUGACCAUCUAUUUUAAUAAAGGUUUGGUCGCUUGAUGCUAGGGACCUUAUGUGAGGCCCCACGUUACUUGUUAAAGUGGGCUCUGAAUUGAAAAAUCAUUGUGGAGCCAUUGGGAUUUGGUGAAUUACCAUGUGGAUAGCAAUAUCAUGUUUCUCAUCAUAAUUCUUUUGGUAAGAGUUCCUCAUCAUACUUGAACUGGUGACCAUUGUUUCUAUGUAAAUCUGACAU